This 252-nucleotide ribosomal RNA is filed under the name uncultured bacterium. RNAcentral's name for it is "partial 16S ribosomal RNA". It matches the Rfam family "Bacterial small subunit ribosomal RNA", at positions 525 to 776 of the family's 1533-position model. The record is from RNAcentral.
ACGGAGGGUGCAAGCGUUAUCCGGAUUUAUUGGGUUUAAAGGGUCCGUAGGCGGAUGAUUAAGUCAGUGGUGAAAGCCCACAGCUCAACUGUGGAACUGCCAUUGAUACUGGUUAUCUUGAGUGCGGUUGAAGUUGGCGGAAUAAGUCAUGUAGCGGUGAAAUGCUUAGAUAUGACUUAGAACCCCGAUUGCGAAGGCAGCCAACUAAGCCGUAACUGACGCUGAGGGACGAAAGCGUGGGGAGCGAACAGG